CGGCCCGUCAAAAUAGCCCACCGUACAGCUCUCAAAAGAUCCAACUUUCUUCCCACUACGGAGGAAGAAGCUCUCGUGCUUCUCCACCUCCGCCACCACCGCACCACCACCACCACCACCACCGCACCACCACCACAACAGAAGGACAACUUCUUUUCAUUUCCCAUCUCUCUCUUAACCCAAUUCAAAAUUCCUAAAAGAAAAACGAAAGAAGAGGGAAAGAAAAGCGGAAAAUGUCGCUUGGAGAACUCUACGUUUUACCAAACAUCUGAAAUCACAGUCAUAACAUGCCCUGCUUCGCUUUUAUGCGAGGCUGCCUCAGGAACGAUCUUUACUUGACCAUGCAUACUGAGACCAACGGUUCUGUAAUUCGCAGUCCGUUCAUACCCCAGAAACCCUACAGCCUUCAGAACUAUACUCUUUACCGCCAUGAAAGACCGAGCCCUAGCUUUCGGUACUGUUUGCGCUCCCCAGCGCUUGAGGUCCGUGAUAACUUCUUCGGCUUCUUCUGGAGUCUCCACUCAUUCUCUGGACUUCGAUUGGCGGGAGAAUCAAGGUCUCCUUUUGAGCCCUAGGAGCACUAAUUUUCCCUACUUGCAACCACAACGGCAGAAUAUGCAGUAUGGCCGGUAUGCAUAUGAUGAUUACUCGGAAGAUGACUCUGAUCAGGACUUCCAGUCAGCUUCUUCGCAAAAGAGUUCUACUCUUGAUAACAUUGAUGAGUGGAAGUGGAAGUUAACCAUGCUUGUUCGCAAUAAAGAUGAGCAAGAAUUGGUGUCAAGGGAGAAAAAGGACAGACGUGAUUUUGAGCAACUUUCAGCAUUGGCUACCAGAAUGAGUUUGUAUUGUCGCCAGUAUGAAAAGGUAGUUGUUUUUAGUAAGGUUCCACUGCCAAACUACAGAUCUGAUUUGGAUGACAAGCGUCCACAGAGGGAGGUGAUCAUACCACUUGGUUUGCAAAGAAGAGUGGAUACUCAUCUUAGAGAAUACCUUUAUCGGAAACCUAUGAACAAAGGAACUUUUCCAGAUGCUACAUUUUCAAGAUCUAGCAGCAGUGGCAGUAUUGCUACCGAUGAAGGGCUUUUUGAGCAACAGGAACCACUAAUACCUACUAGUGUUGUAAUGGAGAAAGUUCUUAGGCGGAGAAGUUUGCAACUGCGUAAUCAGCAACAAGCUUGGCAGGAAUCCCCUGAAGGUCAAAAGAUACAAGAGUUUCGCAGAAGCCUCCCUGCUUACAAAGAAAGAGAUGCACUAUUAAAUGCCAUUUCACAAAAUCAGGUUGUUGUCAUCUCGGGUGAAACUGGUUGUGGAAAGACCACACAACUUCCUCAAUAUAUUUUAGAAUCUGAAAUAGAUGCUUCCCGUGGAGCUUUCUGUAGUAUUAUUUGCACCCAGCCUAGACGAAUAUCUGCUAUGUCUGUUUCUGAAAGAGUUGCUGCAGAGAGAGGGGAGAAAUUGGGUGAAUCUGUUGGAUAUAAAGUGCGACUAGAGGGUAUGAAAGGAAGGGAUACGCGCCUCCUAUUUUGUACUACAGGCAUCUUGUUGAGGAGGUUAUUGGUUGAUAGAAAUUUGAAAGGUGUAACUCAUGYCAUUGUGGAUGAGAUUCACGAACGUGGAAUUAAUGAAGAUUUUCUGCUUAUUGUCCUAAAAGACCUCCUUCCUCAUCGGCCAGAACUGAGAUUGGUUUUGAUGAGUGCAACCUUAAAUGCAGAAAUUUUCUCAUCCUACUUCGGUGGGGCUCCAAUGAUACAUAUUCCAGGUUUUACAUACCCAGUACGGACUCAUUUUCUAGAGAAUGUUCUAGAAACGACUGGGUACAGAUUAACUCAGUACAACCAAAUUGAUGAUUACGGUCAAGAAAAGGCAUGGAAAAUGCAGAAACAGGCUCUCAGAAAGAGGAAGAGCCCAAUUGCUUCUGUUGUUGAGGAUGCCCUUGAAGCUGCUGAUUUUAGGGAAUAUAGCUUACGGACUCGGGAAUCUUUGCGCUGUUGGAAUCCUGAUUCUCUAGGUUUUAACCUCAUAGAAAAUGUUCUUUGCCAUAUAUGUACAAAAGAAAGGCCUGGUGCUGUUUUGGUAUUUAUGACUGGUUGGGAUGACAUAAAUGCUCUGAGAGAACAACUCCAAGCUCAUCCUCUUUUGGGAGACCCGAGCAGAGUUCUGGUGCUUGCAUGCCAUGGUUCAAUGGCCAGCUCAGAGCAGAGGUUAAUAUUUGAAAAGCCUGAGGAUGGCAUAAGAAAAAUAGUUCUUGCAACCAACAUAGCUGAGACAAGUAUCACCAUUGAUGAUGUAGUUUUUGUUGUCGACUGUGGAAAGGUAAAAGAGACAUCAUAUGAUGCAUUGAAUAACACUCCUUGCCUGCUUCCUUCCUGGAUUUCAAAGGCUGCUGCUCAGCAAAGAAGAGGAAGAGCUGGCCGCAUUCAACCUGGUGACUGUUACCAUCUCUAUCCCAGAUGUGUAUAUGAUUCUUUUGCAGAUUAUCAGAUGCCAGAAAUCUUAAGAACACCCUUACAAUCUCUUUGUCUGCAAAUUAAAAGCCUACAGCUUGGAAGCAUUUCAGAGUUCCUAUCUAGGGCCUUGCAGUCACCUGAACCAUUGUCGGUUCAAAAUGCCAUUGAAUAUCUUAAAAUCAUUGGAGCGUUGGCUGAAAAUGAGAACCUGACUGUUCUAGGACGACACUUGUCAAUGCUUCCAGUGGAGCCCAAACUCGGAAAGAUGCUCAUAUUAGGGGCCAUUUUCAACUGUUUAGAACCAAUAUUGACCGUUGUUUCUGGUUUAAGUGUCAGGGAUCCAUUUUUAAUGCCAUUUGACAAGAAGGAGCUUGCUGAGUCUGCAAAAGCCCAAUUCUCUGCUCAGGACUACAGCGAUCAUCUUGCACUUGUCCGAGCCUACCAAGGCUGGAAAGAUGCUGAAAGAGAGCAAGAUGGAUAUAGGUACUGCUGGGAAAAUUUUCUUUCAGCACAGACCCUGAAAGCUAUUGAUUCUCUUCGGAAACAGUUCUUUACUUUGCUCAAGGAUACUGGCCUGGUUGAUGAGAAGACAGCCACAUACAAUGCAUGGAACCAUGAUGAGCACCUCAUUCGAGCCAUCAUAUGUGCUGGCCUCUACCCUGGAAUUUGUUCGGUUCUGAACAAGGAGAAGUCGGUAUCACUGAAGACAAUGGAGGAUGGUCAAGUCCUUUUAUACUCUAACUCGGUCAAUGCUCGGGAACUCAAAAUUUCAUACCCAUGGCUAGUUUUCAAUGAAAAAGUGAAAGUGAACUCAGUGUUCCUUAGAGAUUCUACUGGUAUAUCUGAUUCUGUGCUUCUCCUAUUUGGAGGAGAUAUUUGCAGAGAGGGGCUUGAUGGGCACCUAAAAAUGUUGGGAGGAUAUCUAGAGUUCUUCAUGAAACCUGCUUUGGCAGAAACUUACACCAAUCUAAAGAGAGAGCUUGAUGAACUAAUCCAAAACAAAAUUUUGAAUCCCAAGAUGGACUUAAAUGUCCACAGCGAUCUCCUAUCAGCAGUAAGGUUGCUGGUGUCAGAGGACCGAUGUGAGGGUAGGUUUGUCUUUGGCCGUCAGGUCCUAAAACCAUCAGAAACUCUAGCAGCAUCGAUUCCGCCCUGCGUGUUUUCAAGAAGUGGUGGAAGUGGGCCUGGGGGUGAUAAUUCUAAGAGUCAAUUGCAAACAUUAGUCACCAGAGCAGGACAUGAGGCACCCACUUACAAGACAAAACAAAUGAAGAACAACCAGUUCCGAGCCAUUGUGGAAUUCAAUGGUACGCAAUUCAUGGGACAACCUUGCAACAACAAGAAGCAAGCAGAAAAAGAUGCAGCAGCUGAGGCUUUGCAGUGGCUCACUGGCGGAGCUCAGACAGCUCCUGGAGAUAUAGAUCAUAUGUCUAUGUUGCUGAAGAAAAGCAAGAAGAAACAUCAGAGAACUUGAUAUGUGGUACAGAGGUAGAACUGCACUGGAAAGACACGAUGAGGUUAUCAGAAAUAUUGCCAUUAAUUUCACCAGAGUUGCAGAAUUGGUGGUUCAGUUAUAUGGUGGAUUUGACUAGUGACCCAGCCACUUCGGAUAAGACAACCUGCGAUUUUUCAAUGUGCAGGUUCUGUGAUAGUCAAUCAUGGCCCUUUCGGGGCUUAAUUCUUUAUCAAUGCGGUAAACAUUGGCCAUGGAAUGUUCUUCACUGGUUAAUGAGCCUGGAACGACUAUACAGACAAUAUAUGUGCUGUGUAUAUUCCAUAUAUGGAUGGAUCAAGUAUCUGGCGUGAAGGAUCUUUCUUUCCAUUCCUGAUUCAACUUCUGUACUGGAUGGAUGACAGAACAAUCUCUGCUAGGCAUUCAAGUGGGAAUUUGUGAAAAACAGUCUAUCUAGUCUGAUAGUAAAGCUAGCUUUUUAUCCAACUUGUUGAUUUUCAUUAUGAUUUAUUAUCUAUUUGCCUGCUACCUUGCAAAUUAUCCUGGACUGGGGGGUGGGGAGUGGAUAUUUUUCUCUUUUGGAUGUAUUUGUUCUUGCGUAACGAAUCUCGGGUGUACUUGUUGCAGAGAACAAAAUCAUUGCACUUGCAUUGACUGUAUCUGGUCAUGGUUUUACAUGUUAAAUGUGCAUGAAUUUUCACAAAAAUUUGUAUUUGGAUUUUGUACACUGGCAGAAAGUGAUUCACUGAAUGGAGUUUGGAUAUGCUUCCAACAAGCCACUUCAAUCAA
This is an RNA transcript of Nelumbo nucifera (sacred lotus), 4689 nucleotides long. It is a transcript of the gene named DExH-box ATP-dependent RNA helicase DExH3-like, with no coding region annotated. Lineage: Eukaryota; Viridiplantae; Streptophyta; Magnoliopsida; Proteales; Nelumbonaceae. The record is from RefSeq and is a predicted model, not a curated record.